AUUUAUAAAGUUUAUAAAAACACUUCAUUUUCAUUGAAGAGAUAAGCUUGCGCUUUAUAAAUA
This 63-nucleotide transfer RNA is filed under the name Okanagana rimosa. Its description in RNAcentral is "tRNA-Glu". Lineage: Eukaryota; Metazoa; Arthropoda; Insecta; Hemiptera; Cicadidae. The record is from RNAcentral.